UACGUAGGGUGCAAGCGUUGUCCGGAAUUAUUGGGCGUAAAGAGCUCGUAGGCGGUCUGUCGCGUCUGCUGUGAAAACUCAGGGCUUAACCCUGAGCUUGCAGUGGGUACGGGCAGACUAGAGUGCGGUAGGGGAGACUGGAAUUCCUGGUGUAGCGGUGAAAUGCGCAGAUAUCAGGAGGAACACCGCUGGCGAAGGCAGGUCACUGGGCCGCAACUGACGCUGAGGAGCGAAAGCAUGGGGAGCGAACAGG
This 253-nucleotide ribosomal RNA is filed under the name uncultured bacterium. RNAcentral describes it as "partial 16S ribosomal RNA". It matches the Rfam family "Bacterial small subunit ribosomal RNA", at positions 524 to 776 of the family's 1533-position model. The record is from RNAcentral.